This 494-nucleotide ribosomal RNA is filed under the name uncultured bacterium. RNAcentral's name for it is "partial 16S ribosomal RNA". It matches the Rfam family "Bacterial small subunit ribosomal RNA", at positions 28 to 507 of the family's 1533-position model. The record is from RNAcentral.
GACGAACGCUGGCGGCGUGCUUAACACAUGCAAGUCGAACGGAAAGGCCUGCUUUCCCUUGUGGAUUGCGGGUACUCGAGUGGCGAACGGGUGAGUAACACGUGAGUGAUCUGCCCCCAACUUGGGUAUAAGCCUGGGUAACUGGGUCUAAUUCCCGAUAGGACUGCAGGGUGGUUCCUGUGGUGGAAAACGAUUUUCUAGUGGUUGUGGAUGAGCUCGCGGCCUAUCAGCUUGUUGGUUGGGUAAUGGCCUACCACGGGGGCGACGGGUAGCCGGCCUGGGAGGGUGGACGGACACAUUGGGACUGAGAUACGGCCCAGACUCCUACGGGAGGCAGCAGUGGGACGUCUUGCCACAGGAGCGGGAGCCUGAGGCAGCGACGCCGCGUGGGGGAUGACGGCCUUCGGGUUGUAAACUCCUUUCGACCGCGAGGAAGCCACCUGGUUGGAAGGGUGGUGACGGUAGUGGUAGAAGAAGCACCGGCUCCCUACGUG